GACGAACGCUGGCGGCGUGCUUAACACAUGCAAGUCGAACGGAAAGGCCCUGCUUGCAGGGUGCUCGAGUGGCGAACGGGUGAGUAACACGUGGGUGAUCUGCCCCUUACUUUGGGAUAAGCCUGGGAAACUGGGUCUAAUACUGGAUAGGACCAUGCUGUAGGUGGUGUGGUGGAAAGAUUAGUUUCGGUAAGGGAUGAGCUCGCGGCCUAUCAGCUUGUUGGUGGGGUAAUGGCCUACCAAGGCGUCGACGGGUAGCCGGCCUGAGAGGGUGGACGGCCACAUUGGGACUGAGAUACGGCCCAGACUCCUACGGGAGGCAGCAGUGGGGAAUAUUGCACAAUGGGCGCAAGCCGGAUGCAGCGACGCCGCGUGGGGGAUGACGGCCUUCGGGUUGUAAACUCCUUUCAGCCAUGACGAAGCCCUUGUGGUGACGGUAGUGGUAGAAGAAGCACCGGCUAACUACGCG
RNAcentral lists this ribosomal RNA (469 nucleotides) under uncultured bacterium. Its description in RNAcentral is "partial 16S ribosomal RNA". It matches the Rfam family "Bacterial small subunit ribosomal RNA", at positions 28 to 507 of the family's 1533-position model. The record is from RNAcentral.